GUCACCUGCCAGUCAAUUUGCAAUCAGCCUGCCUCUGAGUCUGUGGCACCAGGUCAAACCAUUAAACUCUCCUGUACUACUAGUGAUACUGGUUCCUACAUUGGCUGGUUUCAACAGAGAUCAGGGCAGGCACCUCGCUUUGUGCAGCGUGAGGGUGGCAGCAGGGGAGAAGGGAUCCCUGAUCGAUUCACGGCUUCUCGCUCUGGGAACAUUGGCUAUUUAACCAUCACCAACGUCCAGGCUGGAGAUGAGGCCGUUUAUUACUGUUGCAGAUGGUAUAGCAGUGCUAGUGCGUUC
Podarcis lilfordi (Lilford's wall lizard) is the source of this 297-nucleotide non-coding RNA. The record is from the annotation of a GenBank genome assembly. NCBI's taxonomy places the organism in Eukaryota, Metazoa, Chordata, Lepidosauria, Squamata, Lacertidae.